Ictidomys tridecemlineatus (thirteen-lined ground squirrel) is the source of this 107-nucleotide small nuclear RNA. The record is from Ensembl. NCBI's taxonomy places the organism in Eukaryota, Metazoa, Chordata, Mammalia, Rodentia, Sciuridae.
GCACUUGCUUCGGCAGCACAUAUACUAAAAUUGGAACAAUACGGGGAAUAUUAACAUGACCCUUGUACAAGAAUGACAUGCAAAUUCAUGAAGUAUUCCAUAUUUUU